This 863-nucleotide ribosomal RNA is filed under the name uncultured bacterium. RNAcentral describes it as "bacterial SSU rRNA". It matches the Rfam family "Bacterial small subunit ribosomal RNA", at positions 38 to 881 of the family's 1533-position model. The record is from RNAcentral.
GGCGGCGUGCCUAAUACAUGCAAGUCGAGCGAAUUUUUGGGAGCUUGCUCCCAAAGGUUAGCGGCGGACGGGUGAGUAACACGUGGGCAACCUGCCUGUAAGACUGGGAUAACUUCGGGAAACCGGAGCUAAUACCGGAUAAUAUAUGAGAGCACAUGGUCUUAUAUUAGAAGAUGGCUUUUAGCUAUCACUUACAGAUGGGCCCGCGGCGCAUUAGCUAGUUGGUGAGGUAACGGCUCACCAAGGCAACGAUGCGUAGCCGACCUGAGAGGGUGAUCGGCCACACUGGGACUGAGACACGGCCCAGACUCCUACGGGAGGCAGCAGUAGGGAAUCUUCCGCAAUGGACGAAAGUCUGACGGAGCAACGCCGCGUGAGCGAAGAAGGUCUUCGGAUCGUAAAGCUCUGUUGUUAGGGAAGAACAAGUAUCGUUCGAAUAGGGCGGUACCUUGACGGUACCUAACCAGAAAGCCACGGCUAACUACGUGCCAGCAGCCGCGGUAAUACGUAGGUGGCAAGCGUUAUCCGGAAUUAUUGGGCGUAAAGCGCGCGCAGGCGGUCUCUUAAGUCUGAUGUGAAAGCCCACGGCUCAACCGUGGAGGGUCAUUGGAAACUGGGGGACUUGAGUGCAGAAGAGGAGAGCGGAAUUCCACGUGUAGCGGUGAAAUGCGUAGAGAUGUGGAGGAACACCAGUGGCGAAGGCGGCUCUCUGGUCUGUAACUGACGCUGAGGCGCGAAAGCGUGGGGAGCGAACAGGAUUAGAUACCCUGGUAGUCCACGCCGUAAACGAUGAGUGCUAAGUGUUAGAGGGUUUCCGCCCUUUAGUGCUGCAGCAAACGCAUUAAGCACUCCGCCUGGGGAGU